AGAGUUUGAUUAUGGCUCAGGACGAACGCUGGCGGCGUGCUUAACACAUGCAAGUCGAACGAGAAGAGAUGAGAAGCUUGCUUCUUAUCGAUUCGAGUGGCAAACGGGUGAGUAACGCGUAAGCAACCUGCCCUCUAGAUGGGGACAACAGCUGGAAACGGCUGCUAAUACCGAAUACGUUCUUUCUGUCGCAUGGCAGAGGGAAGAAAGGGAGGCUCUUCGGAGCUUUCGCUGGAGGAGGGGCUUGCGUCUGAUUAGCUAGUUGGAGGGGUAACGGCCCACCAAGGCGACGAUCAGUAGCCGGUCUGAGAGGAUGAACGGCCACAUUGGGACUGAGACACGGCCCAG
RNAcentral lists this ribosomal RNA (348 nucleotides) under uncultured bacterium. RNAcentral's name for it is "bacterial SSU rRNA". It matches the Rfam family "Bacterial small subunit ribosomal RNA", at positions 8 to 334 of the family's 1533-position model. The record is from RNAcentral.